This 246-nucleotide ribosomal RNA is filed under the name uncultured bacterium. Its description in RNAcentral is "partial 16S ribosomal RNA". It matches the Rfam family "Bacterial small subunit ribosomal RNA", at positions 523 to 769 of the family's 1533-position model. The record is from RNAcentral.
AUACGUAUGUGGCGAGCGUUAUCUGGAAUUACUGGGCGUAAAGGGUGCGUAGGUGGUUUCUUAAGUCAGAGGUGAAAGGCUACGGCUCAACUGUAGUAAGCCUUUGAAACUGGGAAACUUGAGUGCAGGAGAGGAGAGUGGAAUUCCUAGUGUAGCGGUGAGAUGCGUAGAUAUUAGGAAGAACACCAGUGGCGAAGGCGCUUCUCUGGACUGUAACUGACGCUGAGGCUCGAAAGCGUGGGGAGC